RNAcentral lists this long non-coding RNA (682 nucleotides) under Homo sapiens (human). RNAcentral's name for it is "HSALNT0340729". Lineage: Eukaryota; Metazoa; Chordata; Mammalia; Primates; Hominidae. The record is from RNAcentral.
CACAUUCUAUAGUUAUUCUUGAGAACUAUAGACAAGAAAUGAGAGAGAACUGGGAUAGUCUAAGGCCACAUGGAGAUCUGUCUUGCACUAUGUUGACUUAGUUUAGAGGCCCCGGCUGGAGAGGAGUCAGGCCCUUUUCUUGUGGGGUCAAUUAAGUCCGAUCCUCAAUUACCUCCUUGUUUGUCUCUCAGACCCUUGGCCGCUAUUCAGUCGCCAUAUGUGCCUCGGAGCCAGAAACCACAAAAAAAGGUUUUCGCCUACUGCUGCCCUUUAUCCCUCUGGCUCAACUCUGACGCUGGUGCUCCCACGAGUGGCCCCCUGUGGCAUGGCACGCUGUGUUCUCCCCAGGGAACUCUUUAGGAGACAGGAUGUCUGAGGUCAGAAGUUCCCCCUGGUGACCAAACCAGUUAAGACUGAUGAGAUUCAAGAUCCAGCUCACUUCGCCUUUGAAGAACCUCCAACUUCAUUAUAAUUUAUUUUCCAUACUAAAUGACACUCCCACCAGUGCCAUGACAGUUUAUAAUCACCAUGACAAUGACCAGAAGAAAUUAUGAAAGGACAAAAAGGAAGACCACAACUCCGGUUCUGAGGAAUUCUCCACCCAUUCCCAGAAAAGACAAGAAUACUCCUCCCCUUGUUUUUAAUGCCCAAACCCUUCAUUAAAGAUGUCCCAUAUCUGUGA